Molecule: ribosomal RNA, 422 nt
Filed under: uncultured bacterium
Lineage: Bacteria
Description: bacterial SSU rRNA
Rfam family: Bacterial small subunit ribosomal RNA
Source: RNAcentral
UGAGGAAUAUUGGUCAAUGGGGGAAACCCUGAACCAGCGACGCCGCGUGUGGGACGAAAGGGCUUUGCCCCGUAAACCACUGUCAGAUGGGAAUAAAAGCCUUCUUAGAGGGCUGGGAAUGUACCAUCAGAGGAAGGACCGGCUAACUACGUGCCAGCAGCCGCGGUAAUACGUAGGGUCCAAGCGUUGUCCGGAAUUACUGGGUAUAAAGGGUGCGCAGGCGGACUUGUGCGUCAGGGGUUAAAUGUCACGGCUCAACCGUGAACCUGCCCUUGAUACGGCAAGCCUUGAGUGUGAGAGAGGUAAGUAGAAUUCCUGGUGUAGCGGUGAAAUGCGUAGAUAUCAGGAGGAAUACCAGUGGCGAAGGCGGCUUACUGGCUCACAACUGACGCUCAGGCACGAAAGCGUGGGGAGCAAACAGG